RNAcentral lists this ribosomal RNA (464 nucleotides) under uncultured bacterium. RNAcentral describes it as "bacterial SSU rRNA". It matches the Rfam family "Bacterial small subunit ribosomal RNA", at positions 28 to 492 of the family's 1533-position model. The record is from RNAcentral.
GAUGAACGCUGGCGGCGUGCUUAACACAUGCAAGUCGAGCGAAGCACUUAGGAAAGAUUCUUCGGAUGAUUUCCUUUGUGACUGAGCGGCGGACGGGUGAGUAACGCGUGGGUAACCUGCCUCAUACAGGGGGAUAACAGUUAGAAAUGACUGCUAAUACCGCAUAAGACCACGGUACCGCAUGGUACAGUGGUAAAAACUCCGGUGGUAUGAGAUGGACCCGCGUCUGAUUAGGUAGUUGGUGGGGUAACGGCCUACCAAGCCGACGAUCAGUAGCCGACCUGAGAGGGUGACCGGCCACAUUGGGACCGAGACACGGCCCAGACUCCUACGGGAGGCAGCAGUGGGGAAUAUUGCACAAUGGAGGAAACUCUGAUGCAGCGACGCCGCGUGAAGGAUGAAGUAUUUCGGUAUGUAAACUUCUAUCAGCAGGGAAGAAAAUGACGGUACCUGACUAAGAAGCC